AUGAAAAACUUCGGUUUGCCCCGAUCAAAGACGAUCGGGGCGAACUCUAGUCUUAAUUUUAAUUCGCCGCCCAUUUUGAAAUGUGUCGCAACGCUGCUUGAGUUUUGUGAACCGGCAUCAGUCGAUGGCCAUUAAGAAGGAUCAUAAAUAGUUUAUCUGCUUGCUAUCUUCGACGGUAACUUGUGUUCUUAAAAGUCCUACGACAGGCACAUUGCGACAAUGGAAACCUUCUUGCUUUGUUAAAAAAAGAAUUCCGGAGAUAAACAUUGUGGUUCCAGCGGUUUCCUUAGUCCAUGGCAGAAACUAAUAGGACGGGAAAUUUCAUCUUCAUCACUAACAAAAGAAAAGGCAUAUUUUUAAUUGGCUUAAUUGAUCUACUUUUCUGUCCGGGUUCACAAGUGUCAUGAAGCUGGCCACACCUCGAAAGGCUGCCCGAAUCUAUUCAGUGAAUUGACAUAAAGUUGGAAAGCAGCAUUAGCAAUACAUUCUGCUAUGAAAAGGAACUGUUUAAGGGCAUCGUCUUUGGAGAAUGCUUUAACAAUUUUGAUUGAUUCAUCCUUCAGGUUACAGGUAAAGAUGUACCUCAAUACAAAACACCCUUCGAAGAAGCUGGCCUGCGUUAAAUACUACUUAAAAACAUUAAAUAUUCUGGCUACAUAAAACCAACACAUGUUCAGAAAGCUUCUGUUGCAGUUAUCCUUGCCAAAAGAGAUUUAAUUGCUUGUCUGUCAUGGGCACCGGCAAAACGAUAAUCUAAUUACUAACGCUAUGUAAUUUUGAGUGGGCACGCCAGUGAUUGUGACUAUUAAAAGGCGGCGUACUUGGAACCGGUUUUGAACAUAUUGCUAGAACAAGGUGUUGCUGGUGCGUCCCAUGCCUUGGUUCAAAAGCCAGAAGUUGUAAUUAUCGCACUCACUCGACAAUUGGCCAUUGAAAUUCACUGCCAGGUGUUAUUUGACUUCACGGGGGUCAGGUUUUAAAUUUUGGACGAAGCUGAUCGAAUGCUGGAUAUGGGUAUCGGCCCCAGUGUUGACAAAAUUGUCAACCAGCCAACGAAAGGAAUCCGUCGUGUUUGUAUGUUUUCGGCUACUUUCCCAGAUGAAGUACAAGCGCUUGCUGCGACUUACAUGGAAGACUACAUAUUCGUCACAACAUGCAUUGUCGGUGGCACCAAUCCGGAUGUUGAACAGCUGUUUUUCCAGUGCUCGGAAAGAGAUAAGAGCUAAGCUGAUCGAAGUUUUACAAGAUCUCGGUGAUGCCAAGACUAUCGUUUUUGUCGACAGCAAAAAGACGGGGGUUUUCGUCGCUGCAUUCUUGUGCAAUAACAAU
Molecule: long non-coding RNA, 1329 nt
Organism: Daphnia carinata
Lineage: Eukaryota; Metazoa; Arthropoda; Branchiopoda; Diplostraca; Daphniidae
Exons: 9
Source: RefSeq, a predicted model, not a curated record